RNAcentral lists this ribosomal RNA (862 nucleotides) under uncultured Bacillota bacterium. RNAcentral's name for it is "bacterial SSU rRNA". It matches the Rfam family "Bacterial small subunit ribosomal RNA", at positions 1 to 859 of the family's 1533-position model. Lineage: Bacteria; Bacillati; Bacillota. The record is from RNAcentral.
UGGAUCCAGACUUUGAUCCUGGCUCAGGACGAACGCUGGCGGCGUGCCUAACACAUGCAAGUCGAACGGAACUUUUUUAAAAGAUUUCUUCGGAAUGAAUUUGAUUAAGUUUAGUGGCGGACGGGUGAGUAACGCGUGAGUAACCUGCCUCUAAGAGGGGAAUAACAUUCUGAAAAGAAUGCUAAUACCGCAUAAUAUAUAUUUAUCGCAUGGUAGAUAUAUCAAAGAUUUAUCGCUUAGAGAUGGACUCGCGUCCGAUUAGUUAGUUGGUGAGGUAACGGCUCACCAAGACUGCGAUCGGUAGCCGGACUGAGAGGUUGAACGGCCACAUUGGGACUGAGACACGGCCCAGACUCCUACGGGAGGCAGCAGUGGGGGAUAUUGCGCAAUGGGGGAAACCCUGACGCAGCAACGCCGCGUGAAGGAUGAAGGUCUUCGGAUUGUAAACUUCUUUUAUUAAGGACGAAGAAAGUGACGGUACUUAAUGAAUAAGCUCCGGCUAACUACGUGCCAGCAGCCGCGGUAAUACGUAGGGAGCAAGCGUUGUCCGGAUUUACUGGGUGUAAAGGGUGCGUAGGCGGCUUUGCAAGUCAGAUGUGAAAUCUAUGGGCUCAACCCAUAGCCUGCAUUUGAAACUGCAGAGCUUGAGUGAAGUAGAGGCAGGCGGAAUUCCCCGUGUAGCGGUGAAAUGCGUAGAGAUGGGGAGGAACACCAGUGGCGAAGGCGGCCUGCUGGGCUUUAACUGACGCUGAGGCACGAAAGCGUGGGUAGCAAACAGGAUUAGAUACCCUGGUAGUCCACGCUGUAAACGAUGAUUACUAGGUGUGGGGGGUCUGACCCCUUCCGUGCCGGAGUUAACACA